Molecule: ribosomal RNA, 1057 nt
Filed under: Ischnocnema spanios (Sao Paulo robber frog)
Lineage: Eukaryota; Metazoa; Chordata; Amphibia; Anura; Brachycephalidae
Description: partial 16S ribosomal RNA
Rfam family: Bacterial large subunit ribosomal RNA
Source: RNAcentral
ACUCAAGAAAAGAAUCUUAGUUCAACCUAAAGUAAAUUUUUCGUAAACCCUAAUACACCACUUUAGAGUAAUUCAAGUGGGGUACAGCUCACUUGAAAAAGGACACAACCUAUAACAACGGGUAACCUCCAACCCCAAAACCAAGUAGGCCUAAAAGCAGCCACCUUAAAAAAGCGUCAAAGCUUAAUUUUACUUUGCCUAAUACCACAAUUAGUACAGAACCCUUCACUAAUAUUGAGUACUUCUAUACCCUCCCUAUAGAAUUUUUUAUGUUAAAACUAGUAACAAGAAGACACUUCUCUUACAAUACAAGUGUAAGUCAGCAACGGAUCCCCCACUAAUCCUUAAACAGCUCAACAAACAGCCCCUCCCCCUCCCGAAAACCCUGUUUCCAUCCCCCCUGUUAACCUAACACAAGAGUAUUCCAAGAAAGAUUAAACAAAAAAGAAGGAACUCGGCAAACACUGAUCUCGCCUGUUUACCAAAAACACCGCCUCUUGCUAAAAUAAGAGGUCCAGCCUGCCCAGUGACCCCCCAGUUUAACGGCCGCGGUAUCCUAACCGUGCAAAGGUAGCGCAACCACUUGUCUUUUAAAUAAAGACUUGUAUGAAAGGCAUCACGAAGAUCAAACUGUCUCCUUUUUUUAAUCCGUGAAACUAAUCUUCCCGUGAAGAAGCGGGAAUCACGCUAUAAGACGAGAAGACCCUGUGGAGCUUUAGGCUAAACAGUUUCCGCUUUCCCCGCUACCCACAGUAGUGCAUAUACUAGCGCUUAACUGCUUCCCUUAGGUUGGGGCGACCGCGGAGUAAAACCUACCCUCCGCGCCAGGGAAUUACCCAGCAAAGAGCUACACCUCGAUGCAUCAGCAAAUUGAUACAAUUGACCCAAUUACUUGAGCAACGAACUAAGUUACCCCAGGGAUAACAGCGCAAUCCACUUCAAGAGCCCCUAUCGACAAGUGGGUUUACGACCUCGAUGUUGGAUCAGGGUCUCCCAGUGGUGCAGCCGCUGCUAAAGGUUCGUUUGUUCAACGAUUAAAACCCUACGUGAUCUGAGU